Molecule: ribosomal RNA, 494 nt
Filed under: uncultured bacterium
Lineage: Bacteria
Description: partial 16S ribosomal RNA
Rfam family: Bacterial small subunit ribosomal RNA
Source: RNAcentral
GACGAACGCUGGCGGCGUGCUUAACACAUGCAAGUCGAACGGUGAAGCGCCUUCCUUUUUGGUGGGUGUGGAUGAGUGGCGAACGGGGGGGUAACACGUGAGGAACCUGCCCCCUCCUUCUGGAUAACCGCAUGAAAGUGUGGCUAAUACGGGAUAUUCUGGGCCUGUGGCAUCAUGGGUUUGGGAAAGAUUUUGUUUCGGUGUGGGAUGGGCUCGGGGACUAUCAGCUGGUUGGUGGGGGGGUGGCCUACCAAGGCGGUGCCGGGUGGCCGGCCUGGGAGGGUCGGCGGUCAUGCUGGGAAUGAGCGACGGCGCAGACUACUACGGGAAGCAGCAGUGAAGAAUAUUGAACGAUGGGCGGAAGGCUGAUGCCGCGACGCCGCGUGAGGGAUGGCGUCCUGGGGGUUAUGACCCUCUUUCGGGAGUGAAGCAGGCCUGCCUCGUUUGUGGGUGGGUUGACGGUAGCUGGAUAAGAAGCGCCGGCUAACUACGUG